ACACACUGCUGCUACUUUAUGUUGGUGUGUGCAGCUGGCGUCUAAAGACUUCCUGCAGGUAGUCUUCCUGCAGCGGCUGCCCACCUGGCCCUGCUGUGCACCCUGUGCCUAUGUGAAGCUUGGAGUCUAGCCUCACGCAGCCCGAGACUCCCAGGCUGCUUCAUCCCCCAUCUGCUGGAGAACCUGUUGCAGCUACAGAAAUCUGAAUCACUUGAGAAGCUUGUGUGAUGGGCCUUGUUGCCUCACAGCUGCCUUUUUCCCGUGCUUCUCUCACCUGGGAUGGAUCAGCCCUUGAGUCUUCUCAUGGCAAAGGUGAAUGAAGCCUGGUUUUUCGCAGUUAUCAUCCUCUGACUUUAUCAUCCCCAAGGAAAUGAUCUAGGAAAGAGUGAGUACUUAAUGAUAAGAAAACUCACCAUGUUUUAUGAUAGAGAAAAGCCCAGACCGCUUUUCGAAGUUGAAUUUGCUACAGAAAAAGCAUGGAAGGAAGAAGAAAUAAGGUACACACAAACCUUGCCUGCUCUGCCCCAGAACUACAGGCCCUGGUGGGGCCUGCUCCCUGUCGCCAGCAAAGUUGCUGAGAGAGCACACGCCAGCCACGGUGGUGAAGUCAUAGAAAUGCUAUGCCCCCACAGGCCACAGGAAUUGUGGAAAGAUUUGUGUAAAUAUCUCAUGCAUUCUUGUGAUCUAAGCUUUAUGGAAAUAAAAACCACAAUCAAAAAGCCAAUGCCACAUUUAUUCCACCUCCUUCCUUUUCUCCUGUAGAAUAAAUUCAUAGAACAGUUUAUGGAGCAGCCAAGAAAAUACGUUAUUUCAAUUUUAUUACCAGGAAGACAUGCACCUAAGUGCUCAGCAAGACUAACCUAAACAGGGUCCAUUUCGGAAGAAGAUGAGCAGAUGCUGCUGGGCAUCCCCUUAGUCAUGAAGACAAGAGUGGCUCUCGCAGAGGCCACCCCACAGCCCCUGUGUCCAGAUGGGCUUGGUAGUUACCAGUACUCAGAGAACUUCCAGCUUCCUUUCCUCUUCUCUCCUUUCUUAACUUUGUGGUGGAUAUUGGAGUUGGGACGUCUCACACACUCAGAGCACAGCUGGGAUGUUCAACUUGCUGAAGCUUCCCUGGCACCAAGUUUAAAGAAACCACCGAGGAGCACAUGGUUUCCCACACAGGCUCCUGGUGGGGCAUGCCCUCACCAGGAUUCCAGCAGCAGACCCCCAGGAGUCCUGGCCUGAGAGUGAGGAGGGGCCCUCUCUGGAGAGGAGCUGUGGACCCAUGCUCACAUCCAUCCUUCCCACUUACCAUAACACAGCAGGGAAGUCAGUGUCAUGAGAACACAUUUCCACCCUAAGUUUUUAAAUGCACCAUGCUAAAAUUUUCUUUGAAUUCUUGCCCCAAUUUUUCUGACUUGUAAUGUGAAACAACAGACUACUUCCUGCUUCUCUCUGCCCUCCUUUUCCCCACUCACAUUCCAGUUAUGUGUGUCACCCAUAUAUUGAAUGGACUUAGGAAAGUGCAAAGCAGGAAACAAUCCAAUUUUAAUUAAUCAAUUGAUGUUUUCUUCAUUGCUCUUGAGGAGAUCUCAGGCAGAAAUCAUAGUUUUCCUAUUUACUUCUAACUAUUCAAAGUCAAGCCUGAAUUAAAUCCUAACUUUG
RNAcentral lists this long non-coding RNA (1647 nucleotides) under Homo sapiens (human). RNAcentral's name for it is "non-protein coding lnc-UBE2V2-6:1". The record is from RNAcentral. Lineage: Eukaryota; Metazoa; Chordata; Mammalia; Primates; Hominidae.